AAUUGAAUUUAACUCUGCAAAAUCUUAAAUCAAAAUUGAAUAAAAUGAUCUAAAACCGAACCAGUUUUAAUUUAUUAUUUUCUUUUUUAAAAUCCUGAUCCGCCGGUUCCGGGGGUCAGGUCGAGGUAAAAGUAAGGCAAAAAAAAAGCAUAUAGUUUCGGCAGGGUUCCUCGUUUUGCACCACACACACCUAUUGAACUCUGAUGAACGAGCGCUUCACCAGAAAGACGGAGAAAAGUAAAAUCGUGCACUUGGGCGUGCCCACGGGAGAGAGAUAGAGAAAGAGAUGAGUGCCACUACUGCCACUGCACAAUAACAGCG
This 321-nucleotide unclassified non-coding RNA is filed under the name Hevea brasiliensis (rubber tree). Lineage: Eukaryota; Viridiplantae; Streptophyta; Magnoliopsida; Malpighiales; Euphorbiaceae. The record is from RNAcentral.